This 831-nucleotide ribosomal RNA is filed under the name uncultured bacterium. RNAcentral describes it as "bacterial SSU rRNA". It matches the Rfam family "Bacterial small subunit ribosomal RNA", at positions 8 to 854 of the family's 1533-position model. The record is from RNAcentral.
AGAGUUUGAUCAGGGCUCAGGACGAACGCGGGGGGCGUGCUUAACACAUGCAAGUCGAGCGAUGAAACACCUUCGGGUGUGAAUUAGCGGCGAACGGGUGAGGAACACGUGAAGAAUCUGCCUUCAACUCUGGGAUAACUCCGGGAAACCGGGGCUAAUACCGGAUAUGAGCCUCGAUCGCAUGAUUGGGGCUGGAAAGUUUUUCGGUUGAAGAUGACUUCGCGGCCUAUCAGCUUGUUGGUGAGGUAAUGGCUCACCAAGGCGACGACGGGUAGCCGGCCUGAGAGGGCGACCGGCCACACUGGGACUGAGACACGGCCCAGACUCCUACGGGAGGCAGCAGUGGGGAAUAUUGGGCAAUGGAGGAAACUCUGACCCAGCGACGCCGCGUGAGGGAUGAAGGCCUUCGGGUUGUAAACCUCUUUCAGUAGGGAAGAAGCGAAAGUGACGGUACCUACAGAAGAAGCACCGGCUAACUAUGUGCCAGCAGCCGCGGUAAUACAUAGGGUGCAAGCGUUGUCCGGAAUUAUUGGGCGUAAAGAGCUCGUAGGUGGUUCGAUACGUCGGAUGUGAAAAUCAGGGGCUCAACCCCUGACCUGCAUCCGAUACGGUCGAGCUAGAGUUUGGUAGGGGAGACUGGAAUUCCUGGUGUAGCGGUGGAAUGCGCAGAUAUCAGGAGGAACACCGAUGGCGAAGGCAGGUCUCUGGGCCAAUACUGACACUGAGGAGCGAAAGCGUGGGGAGCGAACAGGAUUAGAUACCCUGGUAGUCCACGCCGUAAACGGUGGGCGCUAGUUGUGCGAACCUUCCACGGUUUGUGCGACGCAGCUA